Molecule: ribosomal RNA, 263 nt
Filed under: uncultured bacterium
Lineage: Bacteria
Description: partial 16S ribosomal RNA
Rfam family: Bacterial small subunit ribosomal RNA
Source: RNAcentral
UGGCAGGUACAGAGGGAUGCUACCGGGCGACCGGAUGCGGAUCUCGAAAGCCUGUCCCAGUUCGGACUGGAGUCUGCAACCCGACUCCACGAAGUUGGAUUCGCUAGUAAUCGCGCAUCAGCCAUGGCGCGGUGAAUACGUUCCCGGGCCUUGUACACACCGCCCGUCAAGCCAUGGGAGCCGGGGGGCGCCUGAAGUCCGGGACCGCGAGGACCGGCCUAGGGGCGAAACUGGUAACUGGGGCUAAGUCGUAACAAGGUAGC